UGCCUGGCGCCUGGCAUACACAUGCAGUCGACGCCCCGCAAGGGGAGUGGCAGACGGGUGAGUAACGCGUGGGAACAUACCCUUUCCUGCGGAAUAGCUCCGGGAAACUGGAAUUAAUACCGCAUACGCCCUACGGGGGAAAGAUUUAUCGGGGAAGGAUUGGCCCGCGUUGGAUUAGCUAGUUGGUGGGGUAAAGGCCUACCAAGGCGACGAUCCAUAGCUGGUCUGAGAGGAUGAUCAGCCACAUUGGGACUGAGACACGGCCCAAACUCCUACGGGAGGCAGCAGUGGGGAAUAUUGGACAAUGGGCGCAAGCCUGAUCCAGCCAUGCCGCGUGAGUGAUGAAGGCCUUAGGGUUGUAAAGCUCUUUCACCGGAGAAGAUAAUGACGGUAUCCGGAGAAGAAGCCCCGGCUAACUUCGUGCCAGCAGCCGCGGUAAUACGAAGGGGGCUAGCGUUGUUCGGAAUUACUGGGCGUAAAGCGCACGUAGGCGGAUAUUUAAGUCAGGGGUGAAAUCCCAGAGCUCAACUCUGGAACUGCCUUUGAUACUGGGUAUCUUGAGUAUGGAAGAGGUAAGUGGAAUUCCGAGUGUAGAGGUGAAAUUCGUAGAUAUUCGGAGGAACACCAGUGGCGAAGGCGGCUUACUGGUCCAUUACUGACGCUGAGGUGCGAAAGCGUGGGGAGCAAACAGGAUUAGAUACCCUGGUAGUCCACGCCGUAAACGAUGAAUGUUAGCCGUCGGGCAGUAUACUGUUCGGUGGCGCAGCUAACGCAUUAAACAUUCCGCCUGGGGAGUACGGUCGCAAGAUUAAAACUCAAGGAAUUGACGGGGGCCCGCACAAGCGGUGGAGCAUGUGUUUAAUUCGAAGCAACGCGCAGAACCUUACCAGCUCUGACAUUCGGGUUUGGGCAGUGGAGACAUUGUCCUUCAGUUAGGCUGGCCCCAGACAGGUGCUGCAUGGCUGAUCGUCAGCUCGUGUCGUGAGAUGUUGGUAAGUCCCGCAACAAGCGCAACCCUCGUCCCUAAGAUGCCAGCAUUCAGUUGGGCACAUCUUAGGGGGACGUGCGGGUGCAAUAAGCCGAAAGAGAAAGUGAGACAGACCGCGAAGUUCGUCAUGGGCGUUACUGCCUGCCAUACACAAGUGACUCAGCAGUGGGAGUCGUACCACGUGAACACUGCUUAGCCGCCGAGUGUCAAGCCAUAAGCUCAGUGCCCAUCAUUCGAGAUUGAAGGUUGUACUCCCGAUGACUCGUCA
Molecule: ribosomal RNA, 1256 nt
Filed under: Agrobacterium tumefaciens
Lineage: Bacteria; Pseudomonadati; Pseudomonadota; Alphaproteobacteria; Hyphomicrobiales; Rhizobiaceae
Description: bacterial SSU rRNA
Rfam family: Bacterial small subunit ribosomal RNA
Source: RNAcentral